GAUGAACGCUGGCGGCGUGCCUAAUACAUGCAAGUCGAGCGAACAGAUGAGGAGCUUGCUCCUCUGACGUUAGCGGCGGACGGGUGAGUAACACGUGGAUAACCUACCUAUAAGACUGGGAUAACUUCGGGAAACCGGAGCUAAUACCGGAUAAUAUAUUGAACCGCAUGGUUCAAUAGUGAAAGACGGUUUUGCUGUCACUUAUAGAUGGAUCCGCGCCGCAUUAGCUAGUUGGUAAGGUAACGGCUUACCAAGGCAACGAUGCGUAGCCGACCUGAGAGGGUGAUCGGCCACACUGGAACUGAGACACGGUCCAGACUCCUACGGGAGGCAGCAGUAGGGAAUCUUCCGCAAUGGGCGAAAGCCUGACGGAGCAACGCCGCGUGAGUGAUAAAGGUCUUCGGAUCAUAAAACUCUGUUAUUAGGGAAGAACAAAUGUGUAAGUAACUAUGCACGUCUUGACGGUACCUAAUCAGAAAGCCACGGCUAACUACGUG
Molecule: ribosomal RNA, 497 nt
Filed under: uncultured bacterium
Lineage: Bacteria
Description: partial 16S ribosomal RNA
Rfam family: Bacterial small subunit ribosomal RNA
Source: RNAcentral